GAAAUGCUGUACUUCGAGAGUGUAGUGGCUAUUAGAUUUGCCUCAAAGAUUGGUUCAGCUUAGCUAGCAUGACAGGGAGGGAAGAAAGGCUACUCCUAGCACCCCAGCUGCCUAAAGUUCUAGCAUGCUCUGAAUAUGUUCCCCAGCAUUCAUGCUUUGGAAACAAUCCACAGAUUCAUAACUUGAUGGUAUUUAGAGGCGGGGCCUUUGGGAGAUCACUGGGCUUAGAUGAGGUCAUAAUGGUGCUUCCUAUCCCAUCAUGACACUGGUGGCUUUGAAAGAAGAGGAGGAGAGAUGGAAACUAACAAGCUCACUCUGUCUUGCCUUAUGGCCUCUCACGCUGCUUCAGUGCUCUCCAUGGGCUUGAAGGCCCUCACUGGCUGCAGCCCCUGGAUCUCAGGCCUGUGGAACUGCAAACGAGAGCAUAUUUUGGAACCCAGAGGACUCCUGGUUGAAGUCAUUUGGUUUUUCUACACUCGAAUCACACCUAUUGACACUCAGAUGAGAAUGAAGUCCUCUGCCCAGAGUGUUUAUGUGGCUCCUGUGUCGUCCAAGUGAAGUCGGACUGCACUGAGCCAUCACAGAAGACAGUCCUGCGUGCACACUCAGGAGGGCUGCCGAGCAUCUGUGUGGGGCAGCAUUCCACCAUGGGGAUGCUGGCAUGCUUCUGUUAUGAGCACUCUGCUGUAGGGACCUGCUGUAUUUGUCACACUGCAGCAGGAAAGGGGCAGCACAGGGUGAGAUUAGAUUUCUGAGCCAGUGGUGUUAGCUCUAGAGACGGAGAUGGGACAAGACAUGUCUAACCGGUGUGCUUGCCUCUCACUUUCAUUCUGGAUACCAGUUGUAAGUCUCUCUCUCUCUCUCUCUCUCUCUCUCUCUCUCUCUCUCCCCUCCCUCCCCCUAUCCCUCUUUCCUUCCCUUCUUCCCUUCUAUCCUUUCUUUUUCUUGGGUCUUUCUGUAUAGCCCCAGCUACAGAAAACUCAGGAUCCUCCUACCUCAGGCCACAAGUGGUCGGAUUACUGACACACCACACUCAACCUUCCCAAGCUUCCCUUUUGAGGAGAAUAAAUAUUGAUCAAGGUCCAGGUGAAGAAACAUGGUCUGGAUGAAAGUGCUGCUGGAUGGCUAUCCUCACACAGAAGGCUAACCUUGUCCUGAUGGGAGGUUUAGGACUGUGUUCUAGGCUCCCCUGUCCUUUAUGCUCGACAUUAAACAGCAAGAAGAAAGGAAGGUGAAGGUUGAGGAGGCAAGCUCAUCAAAUGGUGUGUCUACAGAGGAAAUAGAUGUGUGAGGCUGGUGGGCAACUAUAAAAUUAGGUGCUUUUCUCCUCUUAUCAAAGAGUAAAACCAUGCCCUUGGUAGUACUUAGGCAACAAUGCACAAUGUCCUCUAAUGUCAUAUCUGCCAAUCAUACUGCUUGAGUGUCUUUUUGUGACACCACGGCCAUGGCGACUCUUAUAAAGGAAAGCAUUUAAUGGUGCUGGCUUACAGUUUAGAGGUUUGUUCCAUUGUCAUCAUAGAAAGAAUCGUGGCAGCGCACAGACAGACAUGGUGCUGGAGAGGAGCUGAGCUCUACAACUGAAUCUGCAGGCAGCAGGAGGAGAAGGUGAGCCACUGGGUCUGGUUUGAGCAUCUGAAACCUCAAAGUCUAUACCCAGUGACAUUUUUUCCUAUAAGGCCACACCUAGCCCACAAAGCCACACUUCCUAAUAGUGUCACUUUCUAUAAGCCUAUGGGAACCAUUUUCAUUCAAACCACCACAGUGGUGUUCCCUGGAACCCAGUUGGGAAAUAAUGCACCAACUAUCAGGAUACAAGCAGCACUAAGCAAUCAGCUGGGCAUUUCUGAAUAAAUGGCUCAGGCUCCUGAGAGGGACACAUGUUAAAGACAGUCCAUCUUGGCACCCUGCCUGACUUGAGUCAGGAACACAUAAAUUUCUUUCUAUUACAGUUAGGAAUGGCCAUGUUCAGGGCAUUAUGUAAUUUUAUAAAUACAACAAAUCUUGGAGGUGGGUGCUCUUAUUAGACUCAUUUAAUAAGUGGGGGCAGUUGAGGUUAUGCAAGGUUGCCUAGGCACACAGGUAGGACUCGGGCUGUUUGUUGUAAGCUCCUGGGAUCAUGACGUAACUGAGAGACAAGGUCAGGUACCAGACAAAGGUCAAAAGCAGAGGCGAACCAGCUAGAACAAUCUGCUUUGUGUGCAGAUACAGUCAUGGAAGGGAUGCAUGUGUUUGGACAGGGACAGAGAAGCGGUUUAUACCUGGAUUAGGAAGCUGCAUAUUGGGACGUGCAGGCUACUCAGUGUAUCUGUGGACUGCUGCAGUGUCCAAUGCCUGUCGUUAGGGAACGAGUCAUCAGGCCAGGAACAAAGAUGGAGUCUUGGAGCAGCACUUCCUCUUGUUUGGAGUGAAUUAGCAGCUGUGACUUCCAAGCUGAAAGGAAGUGUGGAGAGGACUGGCUUUAUGUAAAACCCGGUGGGGGCUCAGCAGGGUCUGCCCAAGGUAGGAGGACAGUUAGGAAGGAGAUAAAGGUCCUGCCAGUCCUAGGAGAACUAACAUGUUUUAGGGCUCUAAAGACAUCCAACAGUCAUUCUCCUGCUGAUACAUAUCUUUGGUUUUUGCCCUGAGCCCAUCCUUUCAAUCUAGCACAUAGGGACAAAAGAGGGUGUGGUCCUACCUUGUAAACUGUACCCGUAAAGAAAGACAGACUGCCUGGCUCAGAUACUUCUCAAGCAUUUGUCUUGUAAGGUAAGGUGGGCUGGUGGUUAGGAGUGUGUGGUCUAGGAGAGCAGUAGCUCAUAGUCAAAGCUGUCUAUGUGGGCUGUUCCCACGGCUCUCUGUCUACUACUCCAGCCUGAUGCCAGUCCCUAAGGUCAGAAUAGCUUAAUGCCUCACAUUAAGCCUUUGUUUUAGGCCUACUCAGAUUAAUACCAGACUUUGUACACGAGCCAAGAAAAUGUGCACGGGCUUUAACACCGUUGCUGCACCACUGUUUACUUUCCAGGAUGCCCGGGGAAUCUGGAACUGCCCCUCUUCGGAAUCUGCAAAGUGUUGGUGUCAUUAAACAUUUUCAGACUUUUGAUCAUCCAGCA
Non-coding RNA from Rattus norvegicus (Norway rat), 3089 nucleotides. Lineage: Eukaryota; Metazoa; Chordata; Mammalia; Rodentia; Muridae. The record is from RefSeq and is a predicted model, not a curated record.